Dethiosulfovibrio peptidovorans DSM 11002 is the source of this 88-nucleotide transfer RNA. It matches the Rfam family "tRNA". From Rfam's summary of the family: Transfer RNA (tRNA) molecules are approximately 80 nucleotides in length. Their secondary structure includes four short double-helical elements and three loops (D, anti-codon, and T loops). The record is from Rfam. Lineage: Bacteria; Thermotogati; Synergistota; Synergistia; Synergistales; Dethiosulfovibrionaceae.
GGAGGAGUGGCCGAGCGGUCGAAGGCGCUUGACUCGAAAUCAAGUGAGGGGCUCUGCUCCUCCGUGGGUUCAAAUCCCACCUCCUCCG